AGUGAACGCUGGCGGUAGGCCUAACACAUGCAAGUCGAACGGCAGCACAGGAGAGCUUGCUCUCUGGGUGGCGAGUGGCGGACGGGUGAGGAAUACAUCGGAAUCUACUCUGUCGUGGGGGAUAACGUAGGGAAACUUACGCUAAUACCGCAUACGACCUACGGGUGAAAGCAGGGGAUCUUCGGACCUUGCGCGAUUGAAUGAGCCGAUGUCGGAUUAGCUAGUUGGCGGGGUAAAGGCCCACCAAGGCGACGAUCCGUAGCUGGUCUGAGAGGACGAUCAGCCACACUGGGACUGAGACACGGCCCAGACUCCUACGGGAGGCAGCAGUGGGGAAUAUUGGACAAUGGGGGAAAGCCUGAUCCAGCGACGCCGCGUGGGUGAAGAAGGCCUGCGGGUUGUAAAGCCCUUUCGGUAGGGACGAAAGCUCUCGACCUAACACGUCGGGAGGUUGACUUAACCUACAAAAGAAGCACCGGCUAACUCUGUGCCAGCCGCCGCCGUAA
Molecule: ribosomal RNA, 506 nt
Filed under: uncultured bacterium
Lineage: Bacteria
Description: partial 16S ribosomal RNA
Rfam family: Bacterial small subunit ribosomal RNA
Source: RNAcentral